This is an unclassified non-coding RNA of Pongo abelii (Sumatran orangutan), 148 nucleotides long. It matches the Rfam family "Metazoan signal recognition particle RNA". Rfam says of the family: The signal recognition particle (SRP) is a universally conserved ribonucleoprotein. NCBI's taxonomy places the organism in Eukaryota, Metazoa, Chordata, Mammalia, Primates, Hominidae. The record is from Ensembl.
GCUGGGCAUGGUGGUACAUGCCUGUAGUCCCAGCUACUUGGGAGGCUGAGGCAAGAGGAUCACUUGAGCCCAGGAGUUCAAGGCUGUAGUGAGCUAUGAUGGCACCACUGCACUCCAGCCUGGGUGACAAAGUGAGACCCUCUCUCUG